RNAcentral lists this ribosomal RNA (300 nucleotides) under uncultured bacterium. Its description in RNAcentral is "bacterial SSU rRNA". It matches the Rfam family "Bacterial small subunit ribosomal RNA", at positions 334 to 651 of the family's 1533-position model. The record is from RNAcentral.
UAGACCUACGGGAGGCAGCAGUGGGGGAUAUUGCACAAUGGGGGAAACCCUGAUGCAGCGACGCCGCGUGGGUGAAGAAGCGCCUCGGCGCGUAAAGCCCUGUCAGCAGGGAAGAAAAUGACGGUACCUGAAGAAGAAGCCCCGGCUAACUACGUGCCAGCAGCCGCGGUAAUACGGAGGGGGCAAGCGUUAUCCGGAUUUACUGGGUGUAAAGGGGGCGCAGAGGGCGAUGCAAGCCAGGAGUGAAAGCCCGGGGACCAACCCCGGGACUGCGCUUGGAACUGCGUGGCUAGAGGGCAG